Molecule: ribosomal RNA, 253 nt
Filed under: uncultured bacterium
Lineage: Bacteria
Description: partial 16S ribosomal RNA
Rfam family: Bacterial small subunit ribosomal RNA
Source: RNAcentral
UACAGAGGUCUCAAGCGUUGUUCGGAUUCAUUGGGCGUAAAGGGUGCGUAGGUGGCGCCGUAAGUCAGGUGUGAAAUCUCGGGGCUCAACCCCGAAACUGCACUUGAUACUGCGAUGCUCGAGUACUGGAGAGGAGAGUGGAAUUUACGGUGUAGCAGUGAAAUGCGUAGAUAUCGUAAGGAAGACCAGUGGCGAAGGCGAAUCGCUGGACAGUUACUGACACUGAGGCACGAAGGCCAGGGGAGCAAACGGG